AUUGCUAGUAAUGGCAGGUCAGCAUACUGCCGUGAAUACGUUCCCGGGCCUUGUACACACCGCCCGUCACACCAUGAGAGUUGGGGAUACCCGAAGCCUGUGAGCUAACUUUUAGAGGCAGCAGUCGAAGGUAGAAUCAAUGAUUGGGGUGAAGUCGUAACAAGGUAUC
This 169-nucleotide ribosomal RNA is filed under the name uncultured bacterium. RNAcentral describes it as "partial 16S ribosomal RNA". It matches the Rfam family "Bacterial small subunit ribosomal RNA", at positions 1331 to 1500 of the family's 1533-position model. The record is from RNAcentral.